AGUGAACGCUGGCGGCAGGCCUAACACAUGCAAGUCGAGCGGCAGCGCGGGGGCAACCCUGGCGGCGAGCGGCGGACGGGUGAGGAAUGCAUCGGAAUCUACCCUGUCGUGGGGGAUAACGUAGGGAAACUUACGCUAAUACCGCAUACGACCGAGAGGUGAAAGUGGGGGACCGCAAGGCCUCACGCGAUUGGAUGAGC
This 200-nucleotide ribosomal RNA is filed under the name uncultured bacterium. RNAcentral's name for it is "partial 16S ribosomal RNA". It matches the Rfam family "Bacterial small subunit ribosomal RNA", at positions 29 to 230 of the family's 1533-position model. The record is from RNAcentral.